GAUGAACGCUAGCUACAGGCUUAACACAUGCAAGUCGCGGGGCAGCAUGGGGGUUGCUUGCAACCCCUGAUGGCGACCGGCGCACGGGUGAGUAACGCGUAUCCAACCUGCCCUUCACCACGGGAUAACCCGGCGAAAGUCGGACUAAUACCGUAUGUUGUCCAUUGACGGCAUCCGAUUUGGACGAAAGGCUUGGCGGUGGAAGGAUGGGGAUGCGUCCGAUUAGCUUGACGGCGGGGUAACGGCCCACCGUGGCUACGAUCGGUAGGGGGUCUGAGAGGAAGGUCCCCCACACUGGAACUGAGACACGGUCCAGACUCCUACGGGAGGCAGCAGUGAGGAAUAUUGGUCAAUGGGCGUAAGCCUGAACCAGCCAAGUAGCGUGCAGGAUGACGGCCCUAUGGGUUGUAAACUGCUUUUAUGCGGGGAUAAAGUGGCCCACGUGUGGGCUUUUGCAGGUACCGCAUGAAUAAGGACCGGCUAAUUCCGUG
RNAcentral lists this ribosomal RNA (491 nucleotides) under uncultured bacterium. Its description in RNAcentral is "partial 16S ribosomal RNA". It matches the Rfam family "Bacterial small subunit ribosomal RNA", at positions 28 to 507 of the family's 1533-position model. The record is from RNAcentral.